UUCAUCAAGUGGUAGCUGAACCAACGAGGGGGGGGGCAUUUUAGAUUUGAUUCUGGUGAGUAGUGAGGACCUCAUUGAGGAAGUGGUAAUAGGGGACAAUUUGGGCUCCAGUGAUCAUGAGCUAAUUCGGUUUAAACUACAUGGAAGGAGUAACAGAAUUAAGUCAAAGACUAGGGUUUAUAAUUUUAAAAAGGCCAAUUUUAACAAAUUAAGGGGACUGGUAAGGGAAGUGGAUUGGGCAAACGUAUUAAUGGAUCUAAAGGCAGAAGAAGCCUGGGAUUACUUCAAAUUAAAGAUGCAUGAGCUGUCGGAGGCAUGUAUCCCAAAAAAGGGAAAAAGAUUACUAAGCAAGAGAUUUAGACCGAGCUGGAUGAGCAACCGACUCAAAGGGGCGAUUAGGAAAAAACAGAAAGCGUACAAAGAGUGGAAGAGGGGAGGGAUCAGUAAGGAAACUUACCUUAGUGAAGUCAGAGAAUGUAGAGAUAGAGUGAGAAAGGCCAAAGGCCGUGUGGAGUUGGACCUAGCGAGGGGAAUUAAAAGCAAUAGUAAGAGGUUUUACAGCCAUAUAAAUAGGAAGAAAGCAAAGAAAGAAGAAGUGGGACUGCUGAAGACUAUUACCGGAGAGGAGAUUAAAGACAAUCUAGGCAUGGCGCAAUAUCUCAAUGAAUAUUUUGCAUCGGUGUUUAAUGAAGCCAAUGAAGGUAUUAGGGAUACUAGCACCAUUACAGAGGGGCAUUCAGGAUGGGGGAUUACCGUAUCCGAGGUAGAAACAAAACUUGAACACCUUAAUGGGGUUAAGUCGGGAGGACCGGACGAUCUUCAUCCGAGAAUAUUGAAGGAAUUGGCGCGGGAAAUAGCAGGCCCAUUAGAGAUAAUAUUUAAUGAAUCUGUAAACUCAGGGGUGGUCCCGUUAGACUGGAGAAUAGCUAAUGCGGUUUCUAUUUUUAAGAAAGGGAAAAAAAGUGAUCCGGGUAACUACAGGCCUGUUAGUUUAACAUCUGUAGUGGGCAAGGUGUUAGAGAAAAUUCUGAAAGAGAAACUAGUUGAGGACCUGGAGGUUAAUGGCAAUUGCGAUAAAUUACAACAUGGUUUUACGAAGGGCAGAUCGUGCCAAACGAAUCUGAUCUCCUUCUUUGAGAAAGUAACGGACUUAUUAGAUAAGGGAAAUGCGGUGGACCUAAUAUACCUGGAUUUCAGUAAAGCAUUUGAUACUGUACCCCAUGAGGAAUUAUUGGUUAAAAUGUAAUAACAGGAGGAUCGAUAUGAAAAUCCAGAGGUGGAUAAGGAAUUGGUUACUGGGGAGAAUGCAGCGGGUGGUAUUAAAGGGUNNNNNNNNNNNNNNNNNNNNNNNNNNNNNNNNNNNNNNNNNNNNNNNNN
This 1377-nucleotide long non-coding RNA is filed under the name Chrysemys picta bellii (western painted turtle). RNAcentral's name for it is "lncRNA (ENSCPBG00000005063.1)". The record is from RNAcentral. Lineage: Eukaryota; Metazoa; Chordata; Testudines; Emydidae.